CUGAGAUGGUGCCAAGAGGAAGGGGCUGGGGCUCUCUGGGGCUUCAGGAAGGGCUCCGAGGAUGAGGCUGCCCUUGCCCUGAGCCUUAAAGGAUGAGACAAGGCCUGACAGGCUCCAUCUAAAGCGUGGAUUCCAGGCAGAGGCCACAGCAAAGACACAGAACAAACACCAAGUGCCCCGGGGGUGCUGAAGACACGCGCAGGAAUGAAGAAGGUCAUUAGACAGUUGACAAGGCAAUCAGGCAUUGCUCCUUAUCAGAAGGAAAACUCAGGAGGCCCAUCCCAGCACAGCUGAGAGCUGAAGGAAGAGCUUCCUAACUGCCUGCACAGUGGUACAAGAGGACAGGAAGCUGCCGCCGUGGGUGAAACAGCCCUGGGCCCAGUUCCUCCCGGGCGGGGCCUGGAUUCCACCUGCGGCGUCUGAGGCCCCAGUGCCAGGGUUGCCAAAUAAAAU
Long non-coding RNA from Pongo pygmaeus (Bornean orangutan), 453 nucleotides. RefSeq lists it as uncharacterized. Lineage: Eukaryota; Metazoa; Chordata; Mammalia; Primates; Hominidae. The transcript has 3 exons. The record is from RefSeq and is a predicted model, not a curated record.